AUGCUUACGAAGCUUCAUAAACUCAAUGCACCCAGCUGGUCCACGACACCUCCGCAUUGGUAGUUUCCCUGCCAUUGACAUGUUAAUUUCAAUGACUAAGAACAAAAAUAAUCAGAAAACCAAUUACUGGCAAGGAAACUCAAUACCCAAAACCAUCUCUGGGGGCUGUGUUGAGUCGUCCGAUGAUGAGUUUUGUUCAACCAU
Molecule: long non-coding RNA, 204 nt
Organism: Juglans microcarpa x Juglans regia
Lineage: Eukaryota; Viridiplantae; Streptophyta; Magnoliopsida; Fagales; Juglandaceae
Exons: 3
Source: RefSeq, a predicted model, not a curated record